Molecule: long non-coding RNA, 4705 nt
Organism: Passer domesticus (house sparrow)
Lineage: Eukaryota; Metazoa; Chordata; Aves; Passeriformes; Passeridae
Exons: 3
Source: RefSeq, a predicted model, not a curated record
UUUAGUUCUGCCAAAGGAAGAGACAGAGGGAAUGUGGUCAUGACCAGCCUUCUCAAACUCCCACGGAGACCACAGAAGAUGCAAUUUCAAUGCUUUUAGCUACCCAGGACCCCAAAUCCUAAAAAUGCAUUUAAGGCACUGCAAGAUGUGGGUAAAACUUAUGCAAGAGGCACAAAAAUAGAGCCCUGUAUCCACAGCAACACAAGCACACAAGAACUCCAGCACGUCCCUUUUUCGAGGCCACAGCAAAGCUCUCCCCACAGCUAAGGAUAGAUGCCCAAAGGGAAAAAAGCAUUUCAGAAACACUUUCCUACCCCCUUUGGAGGGGAAGGCCUCCACACCUCCUGCCUUGUGCCACCUUCCCGUUUUCCCAAGGGGCCGUCUGCCCUGCCAGGAGCGCAGCACCACGGCGAUGAAUCCGUGUUUUCCACUGCAAGGAGGAACAUGACUCACAGUCCCCACCAGGACCCAGUGACUUGUGGUAUCCAAAGCAAACACAGCCAGUGAGACUUUUCAACAAACAGUCAACAAUCUCCUGCUAGCUGUCCACCCCAAGACAUGCCACAGCUUAAGGUUUUUCCCUCACUUUGUCCCUUGCCGUUGCCUUUCCUCAUUCUUUCUCAAAGAGGACAGUUAAAAGCCUGAGCCUCACUUUCCCACCCAAGCUAAGCCUAGAAGAGUCUGUGGAGAUCUGAACAUCUUCCUCAGCUUCCAUCACACAUCACACGUCCCAGUGCCUGUUGGAUGAUGCUGCUAGGAAUAUCCAGAAAGAAACUAAAUUCUCACCUCCUUCAGUAAACUGCAUUGAUUUUAGUGAUUUUAGUGAUUUUAGUAACCCCAUCUCCCCUGUAGAGCUGGGGAGGGGAACAGCUUUGCCCAAGUCCCACAGUGAGCAACACAGGAGCUCCUUGCUGUGUCAAAGAGGAGACUUAGGGACUCAGCUCCAGCAUCAGGAAGCCAGCCACAAGCCCACAGGCACCAGCUUCAUCACACAGCCUGACAGUCUCCGUUGUCACUUGUCCUGAGUAACUCAGGAGUUUGGGAGGAGGAGGAGGAGAGCAGGCAGUGACAAUCCUCUGGGCUGCAACACUGGGGGGGGCAGACAGGUGAGUUCAGCAUCCUCAGGCAUCAUCGGGAAGGGCACUGACACACAUCCUUCACUGACACUAGAGGACUUCAAGCCUUUCCCUCAUCCCCACAUGGCCACCACACACAGAUUGUGGACAGCUGGUAUCAGCAAAGAACAAUCUGCAAUGAGUUUUUAACCUUUGCUGACAUGAUCUUCAAGAGCAGCAACUUGUUUUGCAGUACCUGUAAAGGAGGUAGAGAGUGGGUCUGAAACUACUUCAUUCCAGCCAUCAAACAGCAAUCACACAUUAAUGACUUUCAGUUUAUUCCCUGUGGUACCUGGUUCAGAUUUGUGAAACCAGGAAUGCUUGCUAAUAUGUUUUCAGAUUAAAUGAACCUUUCCUUUUCUUAAUGUAUGUGCCUAAAAAUAACAGGAGUUGCACAGUCAUGUCAAGAGAUUAAAUUACCCUAAAGUCUGGAGAGGGAUUACAGCUGUCUGAAAACAAUAGGUGCAUACUUUAUUCAGCAAUGGUGUGCUUAGUCAAGACAAAUUUGAGUGGUCAUGAAGACUGCUUUGUUUCUCUAUUAGUGCUUGUGAAAAGCUGCAUAAAAACACAGUGCUGUGAAUGGCCUGACAUCCAUGAACAAAUCUUGUUUCAGCAAUCACCCUGCACAAAGCAAACCCGAAAAUCAAUAAAGCCACACAGCAGGUUCCAGGUUUCACUUCCCAAAGGGCUGUCCUGCACAGCAAAGUGUGUGAUGUACAGUCAUGCACACCCAUACCCACAUCUGCCUGACAGUUUAUGUCACAGAGCCAUUAUCCUACCAAACUAAGUCACAGAGUGACAUUUUCCCUUACUGAAUUCUUUGUCUUUGCACUCCUGGUAAUAUUUGCAUAGUUUGAAUCAGGUGCCAGCAUCUCCCAGGAGUGACAGAGGGAUACAGAGGAUCCUCAGGAGGAUCUCAUGGGAGCAAGCCAGCCAUGCUCAGUACUCCUGACCUUCACACCUUAGCAGCAUCACAUGUAAAGCAGGUACUGAGGAAUUUCAGGCACCUUUAGAUAGGAGUGAUAGACAACAAAGAGUUUUAAGGACAGACAUUUGGGUUUUAAGCACCUAACAUGAAAAGUCAGGCUCUGGCUCCAGUCCCUAAUACAUUAACCUGCCACUCAGGGUGGGGCACAUACCAGAUGCUCAGGAGAAACAGGAAAUAACUCUGAAUAUCAGCACAAACCACCAGCCAGACUAGGUUUGGAUUCAGGGGUCAGAGGCAGGUUGGAGAAGUGUAGAGACAACAAGGACAUAUUGCCGAGAAUAAAAAGACAACUGGAUAUGGAAAAAAAGGUGGCAGAAGGAUAAGACAAAGACAUUUGAGUGUUUGCAGGACUCUUGCUUCUCUGGAAUGACAGCCCUGCCCAGUAAGGCCUCUUACCUAUGCAACACAGCACUCCAUCCUGCUCUGUAGGCAGCAGGACCCAAGCAAGCCAAGAAUACAGCACCCAGAACACAGAACACUCUCCAGAGAAAAGAGAAACUUGGUAAGAAGACAUAAUUAAUGUCUGCAAAUACGUGGUGCUCUCACCACUCAAUGACUGGAAAAGGGGUACAGGUGAGAGAGGUGAAAAGGUAUAACAGGUGUCUGCAGAACAACUUUUUCUUUUGAAACCAAGCAAGUGCUUUUGCUACAGAGAUCUGUUGGGAAAGGCACAGUGACAGUACCUACUGCACCAGCCUGCAGCUCCAGAAACCACUGCUGCAUAUUCCUCUAUCUUUGUAUCCAGGCCACUUUCCCACAAAAAAUGAACAACUGUGACCCAGCAGAUCCCUGUGGAACAGCUCUGUGAUUGAGAUCCCCAGGCAAACUAUGCAGAAACUUCAGGCCAUCAACACCAACCUGUACUUCCCCAGCUAAGCAGCUCUCAGGUCAUUUGUGGAGCAGAUUUUGAUGAUCAGAGACAUGAGGAGAAAGCUGGAUGGCAAAGCCCUGGGCUGCAGCACCCAAGAUUGCCCAGCACUUCCAGCAAGCCUCAUAACCAUAAGAUGGGCAGCAGUUAUCCCACACAAGGCUUUAGUUUUUGCUUUAGUGCAAGGAACAAGCAAGACACACCAGCUCCCAGGCUGUGAUUUCAUGGUAGUGCAGCCAGCUUGCUCCCUCCCACCCACUGUGCCAGCCAAGCUUUUGGUGCCAGCUGCAUGAGGAGCAAGACCAGAAAUGGAUCCAGCUGGGGAGAAAGAAAUAUCAACACACAAACCAACAACACAUAAGGGAAGGAGGGAAAUCUCUGCAAGAUCCAUUCUCUACUAUGGUUCCUGAACUAACUUCACCAGCAGUGCCAGGGGCAGGAAUGAGCGGGCUUGCCCAGGAAGAGAAGCACCCAGCUUCUGAUCGUCAACCCCAGGUAUUGCCCAGGUAGGAGUCAACACCAAUCCAGCUGACAGCAGAAGCAAGAUGCCAGAGACCCACAAGAGAUGGUUUCUGAAGCCAUCCUCAUUGCAGUGCUACAGAACCAGCUUGGAGAAAGAACAUCAAGAGAAUAAAAGGCAACUGAAAUCAAUUAAAACACCCUGCUGACUUGUCCUCCCGCACCAGUAACACUCUAAUUCUUUGCUCUGCAUCAGUGCCCAGGAUUCAUCUCCUCCUAAAGGAAAUAAGCUACACCAAGGGCUGUCACAAAUUCACAUGCUAGCAAUUGCAGCUGAGGGACUCAGCUGCAGGGAGGGACAUGCUGGAUCUUUUAAUGAGAAAACAUGAAGUGUUGCUUCUUAGCUGCCCUUGGCAGAUGGCUGUGACACAAGAGAUUUCCCAAAUAGGUGAAGAGAAGGUGAAAGCUCGGCUGUGGUCAGUUGAGUGGCUCUGUGAGCUGAGCCAGUAGAGGUCUCUCUUCCACUAAUAAAAAUAAAUAAAUAUCUAUAUUCAUCUGUGUAUGCAUGUGUCCUCACUUGGGAUCCCUCAGUCUCGACCUAGAAUAAAACAUAUACGUCCAGAAGCCAGCAGCUCAGAUGGGAACAACCAUUUGUUCCAGAAAAAAAAAAAGUUAAAAAAAAUGGAAGUUGGUGUGGUGUACCAGGUUACCAAGCUCAUGGUAUCAACUCCAGGCUUCACACCUGGCAGAAAAAAUUUACAGUGUGGUCAGUCCCAGACCUCAAGCUUUUCUCCCCAAAGCAAGUGAGGACCAGAAAUGUACUUGCUAGGACAUAGACAUCUCUUCCAGCCUGCCCAGGUAGCAGGGGAUAGGAGCCCUUUCUGCACUGGUAGGUGCCUGGUUUCACUCUACGUAGAGCCAGUCAUGACAGAAAGGCUUUAUCAGGCAACAGUUGGAUUUUUGGCCCCCAUGUAAAGAACUGCUGGAUCUUUGUGGGGGAAGAGUCUGGAGCACACAAAAUGGGGCGUCUGCCCACGACUGGAAUCCUUGUUUGAAGACUCAGAUGUGAGGCCAAGGAUAAAACUGGAAUGAAACUAAUGUUCCUGCCUUGCUGUCUCCUCCAAACAGCUGCAGGCGCAGUAGGACGGCCAGGUAUAAAAGCCUGAGCUGGCACAGCCUGUCUUUGCGGAUGGGGAACGCUGAACCACAAGGUGUGCUGCUCCCUGCUUCCACCCAGAGCCGGCCGGCAGGUGCCAAAGCUGCCGGGAGGAGCGG